Malus domestica (apple) is the source of this 4251-nucleotide RNA transcript. It is a transcript of the gene named protein STABILIZED1-like, with no coding region annotated. The record is from RefSeq and is a predicted model, not a curated record. Lineage: Eukaryota; Viridiplantae; Streptophyta; Magnoliopsida; Rosales; Rosaceae.
UCACGCUUGACCCGUAUUCAUAUACCUCCAACUUCUCCCAAAUAGUAAUCGUGUCUCGCGCAUAGGAUCACACAUCGAUCUCGCCAUGGUGUUCAUCACAUCCCCCAAUCACAAAACCCUAACCCUAAAUCUAAACCCUAAGACCACCACCCUCCAAGCCCUAAAGCUCCAAAUCGAGCAAAAUUCCCACAUACCCAUUCCUCUGCAGCGCCUAUUCAUCUCGCAAAGCCUCCAAUUACUCACCCAAUCCGACUCCGCCCUCCUCUCCGACCUCGGAAUCCUACCCCUCUCAACCCUAACUCUUCACAUCCCCUUAUUCGGCGGCACCCAACCUCCCGCCGUCCCUAAACCCCGCCUCGAGUUCCUCAACUCCAAGCCUCCCCCGAAUUAUGUCGCAGGGCUCGGCCGUGGUGCCACUGGCUUCACCACCAGGUCUGAUAUCGGGCCCGCACGUGCCGCGCCCGACCUGCCUGAUAGGUCGGCCACCACAAUCGGAGGCGCUACUGCUCCUGCUGCGCCGCCUGGGGUCGGCCGAGGGCGCGGGAAGCCCGACGAAGAGGAGGAGGAUGAAGGGGAGGAUAAAGGGUACGAUGAGAAUCAGAAGUUUGAUGAAUUCGAAGGGAAUGAUGUUGGGUUGUUUGCAUCGGCGGAAUACGAUGAUGAGGACAAGGAGGCUGAUGCGGUGUGGGAAGCCAUUGAGCAAAGAAUGGACUCUCGGAGGAAGGACAGGAGAGAAGCACGGUUGAAAGAAGAGAUUGAAAAGUACAGAGCUUCGAACCCAAAGAUCACGGAGCAGUUUGCCACUCUGAAGAGGAAGUUGUACACUGUGUCUGCUCAGGAAUGGGAGAGCAUACCGGAAAUUGGAGACUAUUCGUCGAGGAACAAGAAGAAGAGAUUCGAGAGCUUUGUACCGGUGCCCGAUACACUUUUAGAGAAAGCAAGACAGGAAAAGGAGCAUGUUACGGCAUUGGACCCCAAGAGUAGGGGAGCUGGUGGUACGGAGACUCCGUGGUCUCAAACUCCGGUUACGGAUUUGACUGCUGUAGGUGAGGGUAGAGGUACUGUUUUGUCAUUGAAAUUAGAUAGGCUUUCUGAUUCUGUUUCUGGAUUGACGGUUGUGGACCCGAAAGGGUACCUUACUGAUCUUAAGAGCAUGAAGAUUACUAGUGAUGCAGAGAUUUCAGAUAUUAAAAAGGCUAGGUUGUUGCUUAAGAGUGUUAUACAGACGAAUCCAAAGCACCCACCUGGUUGGAUUGCGGCUGCAAGGCUGGAGGAGGUGGCUGGGAAGAUUCAGGCAGCUAGACAAUUGAUUCAGAAAGGGUGUGAAGAAUGUCCUAAGAGUGAGGAUGUGUGGUUAGAGGCGUGUAGGCUUUCAAGCCCUGAUGAAGCUAAGUCUGUGAUUUCUAAGGGUGUGAAGUCGAUUCCCAAUUCGGUGAAGUUGUGGAUGCAGGCUGCGAAAUUGGAGCGUGAUGAUUUGAAUAGGAGCAGGGUAUUGAGGAAAGGUUUGGAACACAUUCCCGAUUCUGUUAGGCUAUGGAAGGCAGUGGUGGAGCUUGCCAAUGAGGAGGAUGCAAGACUUUUGCUUCAUAGGGCUGUGGAGUGUUGUCCCUUGCACAUUGAGUUAUGGCUUGCACUUGCAAGAUUAGAAACUUAUGAUAAUGCGAGGAAGGUCCUUAAUAGGGCGAGAGAGAAGUUAUCAAAAGAGCCUGCCAUUUGGAUCACAGCAGCGAAGUUGGAGGAAGCUAAUGGGAACACGGCCAUGGUUGGGAAGAUUAUUGAAAGGGGUAUAAGGGCUUUGCAAAGAGAAGGGUUGGCGAUUGAUAGAGAGGCAUGGAUGAAGGAGGCUGAAGCUGCUGAGCGUGCAGGAUCUGUUGCAACUUGCCAAGCAAUCAUUCGGAACACAAUUGGGAUUGGUGUGGAGGAAGAGGAUAGGAAGAGGACAUGGGUUGCUGAUGCUGAGGAAUGCAAGAAAAGGGGUUCCAUUGAAACAGCCAGAGCUAUUUAUGCACACGCACUUACUGUCUUUUUAACCAAGAAGAGCAUAUGGCUCAAAGCCGCACAGCUUGAAAAGAGCCAUGGGACUAGGGAAUCUCUUGAUGCUUUACUUCGUAAAGCGGUGACAUACCGACCACAGGCUGAAGUCUUGUGGCUUAUGGGUGCUAAGGAGAAGUGGCUUGCUGGGGAUGUGCCCGCUGCUCGUGCCAUCCUUCAAGAAGCUUAUGCUGCCAUUCCCAAUUCUGAAGAAAUUUGGCUUGCUGCAUUUAAACUUGAAUUUGAGAACCAUGAACCAGAGAGAGCUAGAAUGCUUCUUGCCAAAGCCCGAGAAAAGGGAGGCACUGAAAGAGUGUGGAUGAAAUCAGCAAUUGUUGAGAGAGAAUUAGGGAACAUUAAUGCAGAGAGGAAGUUGCUUGAUGAUGGGUUGAAGCGCUUCCCUUCCUUUUAUAAAUUAUGGUUGAUGCUUGGACAGCUAGAGGAACGCCUUGGUCAUUUGGAGAAAGCCAAGGAGGCCUAUGAUUCGGGUCUGAAGUACUGCUCCAGUUCUAUUCCACUGUGGCUUUCUCUUGCUAAUCUUGAAGAGAAGAUGACUGGUCUGAGUAAAGCUCGUGCAAUUCUGACGAUGGCCAGGAAGAAGAAUCCUCAGAACCCUGAAUUGUGGCUUGCUGCUGUUCGAGCUGAAUUAAGGCAUGGAAAUAAGAAGGAAGCUGAUAUCUUGAUGGCAAAGGCCUUGCAGGAGUGUCCCAAUAGUGGUAUAUUGUGGGCUGCGUCCAUUGAGAUGGUACCCCGUCCACAACGGAAGACGAAGAGUAUGGAUGCCCUCAAGAAAUGUGAUCAUGAUCCCCAUGUCAUUGCUGCUGUGUCUAAGUUAUUUUGGCAUGACAGGAAGGUUGACAAAGCUAGGACUUGGCUUAACAGGGCAGUGACACUAGCGCCAGAUAUUGGGGAUUUCUGGGCUUUAUACUACAAAUUUGAACUUCAACAUGGGACCGAUGAGAACCAGAAAGAUGUACUUAAAAGGUGCAUAGCUGCAGAACCAAAGCAUGGUGAGAAAUGGCAACCUAUUUCAAAGGCCGUGGAGAACUCCCACCAACCAACUGAAGCCAUCUUGAAGAAAGUGGUGGUUGCUCUUGGGAAGGAAGAGAGUGCAGCUGAAAAUAAUAAACAGUAGUUCAAGCUCUUCUGUUCCAGAUUCUGUUUCUGGGUUGGCGGUUGAGGAACAAGAAGACAUUCAAGAGCUUUCUGCUGGUGGCCGCUGCGCUUUCAAACAAGGCAAGACAGGAACUGGAGUCGAAAGGGUACCUUACUGAUCUUAAGAAUAUGAAUACUACUAGUGAUGCUGAGAUUUCAGAUAAUGAAAAUGCGAGGUUGCUGGCACAGACGAAUCCGACGCACCCACGUGGUUGGAUUGCUGCUGCCAGGCUGGAGGUGGUGGCUGGGAACAUUCAGGUAGCUAGGUGAUUGAUUCGGAAAGGUUGUGAGGAUGUGUGGUUAGAGGCGUGUAGGCUUGCGAGCCCUGAUGAAACAAAGGCCUUGAUUUCGAAGGGAGUGAAAUUGAUUCCCAAUUCGGACAAACUGUGGAGGCAGGCUGCGGAAUUGGAGCAUGAUGAUUUGAGUAGGAGCAGGGUGUUGAGGAAAGGUUUGGAACACAUUCCCGAUUCUGUUAGGCUGUGGGAGGCUGUCGUGGAGCUUGCCGGUGAGGAAGAUAAGAGACUUUUGCUUCAUAGGGCUAUGAAGUGUUGUCCCUUGCACGUUGAGUUGUGGCUUCAACAUGGUGCAUUGGAAACUAAUGAGAAUAUGUGGAUGUCUUUACCAAGGCAAGAGAGAAGGUAUUGUGUUGUCUAUAUCUGACCGCUACUGUCAUGCCGGGGUUUAUAACCUACAGACAGUCAUGGAAAACAUAGGUUGGCAUGUCAAUGGAGUGGAGCUUCGUCCUUUGAGCAAGGGAAAUAACUGUCUUUUGCUUACGCAGAUUACAGAAUAGAGGGAGGAAGAAAUGAUGCAAGUAUGCAAGCGGAACAGAUUUAUUUACUUGUAUCCUAUGUAUGGCCUCUAAGUCGAUUGUUUGAAAUUGGCAAUUUCAACCGUGUAGCGAGGUGCAUGUGCAAUUUUUUUUUUUUUUUUUUUUUUUUGAGUGCAUCGAUAUUUUUACACUAGGGGGAGGGGGAGGUCGGUUAAGCCACAUAAUGGGCAAUUUAAUUUGGUAUCAUUUCGUUGUUUACGAGAUUCGAAUCUAAGAUUUUUCAUUUCCCAGUG